Molecule: ribosomal RNA, 254 nt
Filed under: uncultured bacterium
Lineage: Bacteria
Description: partial 16S ribosomal RNA
Rfam family: Bacterial small subunit ribosomal RNA
Source: RNAcentral
UACGUAGGGUGCAAGCGUUGUCCGGAAUUAUUGGGCGUAAAGAGCUCGUAGGCGGUUUGUCGCGUCUGCUGUGAAAACGCGAGGCUCAACCUCGCGCCUGCAGUGGGUACGGGCAGACUAGAGUGCGGUAGGGGAGAUUGGAAUUCCUGGUGUAGCGGUGGAAUGCGCAGAUAUCAGGAGGAACACCGAUGGCGAAGGCAGAUCUCUGGGCCGUUACUGACGCUGAGGAGCGAAAGCGUGGGGGAGCGAACAGG